Molecule: ribosomal RNA, 386 nt
Filed under: Gephyrocapsa cf. oceanica
Lineage: Eukaryota; Haptophyta; Isochrysidales; Noelaerhabdaceae
Description: partial small subunit ribosomal RNA
Rfam family: Eukaryotic small subunit ribosomal RNA
Source: RNAcentral
AUUCCAGCUCCAAUAGCGUAUAUUAAAGUUGUUGCAGUUAAAACGCUCGUAGUCGGAUUUCGGGGCGGGCCGACCGGUCUGCCGAUGGGUAUGCACUGGCCGGCGCGUCCUUCCACCCGGAGACCGCGCCUACUCUUAACUGAGCGGGCGCGGGAGACGGGUCUUUUACUUUGAAAAAAUCAGAGUGUUUCAAGCAGGCAGUCGCUCUUGCAUGGAUUAGCAUGGGAUAAUGAAAUAGGACUCUGGUGCUAUUUUGUUGGUUCGCACACUAGGUAAUGAUUAACAGAAUCAGUCGGGGAUAUUCGUAUGCAAAUGUCAGAGGUGAAAUUCUUGGAUUUUUUACAGACGAACUACUGCGAAAGCAUUUAUCAAGGAUGUUUUCAUUA